Molecule: unclassified non-coding RNA, 197 nt
Filed under: plant metagenome
Description: partial contains small subunit ribosomal RNA, internal transcribed spacer 1, and 5.8S ribosomal RNA
Source: RNAcentral
UCUCCGUUGGUGAACCAGCGGAGGGAUCAUUACCGAGUGCAAACUCAUAACCCUUUGUGGACCUAUAUCUGUUGCUUCGGCGGCUCGCUCUCGGGCGAGCCCGCCGGUGAUAUCAGUAUCUCUGUUUGAACCCGACGAUACUUCUGAGUGUUCUUAGCGAACAGUUAAAACUUUUAACAACGGAUCUCUUGGCUCUA